Molecule: long non-coding RNA, 1161 nt
Organism: Leguminivora glycinivorella
Lineage: Eukaryota; Metazoa; Arthropoda; Insecta; Lepidoptera; Tortricidae
Exons: 5
Source: RefSeq, a predicted model, not a curated record
AAAGCAUUAAGAUUGAAUGUAAACGUCAAAUCACUGUCUCUAUUUUAUUAUUCUACAAUUCGUUCCACAUAGUCUGCAGAGCCCCAUUCAUACUGGAUAAAUUUUAGUCGCAUCCGGUCCGUCAAAUGUCUUAUGAUCUAUAGAGCCCUUUUGAUUUUUCUAUGGCAACAUUUGCUAUGCUGACGUCAUUGCCACGUCAUUACUGUCAGUCAGACAGAAAUAAAAGAAAAAUGGAUGCCGUUCAGACGUACACGCAUUAUUUGGAACUGAAAAUUACGUAAUUUAUCGACCUGCUGGCUUGUAUUUGUUAUAAAUCAUAAAAACCUGUGACGCCAGUGGAACUACGUGGUUUUCUUUCGUGAUGAUUUGAUGAUACCUCAAUGGAAUUGAGCCAAGUUUUUGCCGUAUUGGGUGCUAGAUGCCCCUUGGAGUUAAGCCCCAGUGCCACUAUACUACCUUACCAGUUAUGUGUGGGUGUCCUAAGGUACCCCAGAGAUGCAUAGGGCCUUCACAAGCUCAUGCCACGCCUUCCUAUCUUCAGCAACCCUCGUGACCUCGCUCCACCAGCUCAAACCUGCCACUCGCAGCUCAUUUUCGACGGACCGCUUCCAUGAGUAGACAAGGCACCGACGAUCACGGCUUGCAUCACCUGUACUAAUAUAGUAUGCUGAACAUCGCUGAACGCUGCCAUUAUACUAGGAUUAACGUCCUGCCCCUUCCCCGGCUGUGUACAAAUUGGAACUCCAUUAGCAUGCCCCUUUGACUGAGCAACGUGUGUGUGUGCUCGAAACACAUUCACUUGCAACAGAAUGACUCCCAGGCUGACCUGGCUCAGCUCUUGUAUGUCUAAUCUACAUAGACAAUGGUUUCAAUGAAAGAGUCAAAAUUUUCUCCACAUACAAUCACUUCUAGUGCCUACACUGACUACACCAAAUAUAAUCAUCACUCAACGUGUCUCACAUCAAGAUACUUUUCAAAAGUCAUCGAAGAGAGAAACAUAAUAUCUUUCCCAUUUUUGCCUGAAUAAUCCUAACUAAAAGUUACUUCUCUAUUCUAUUUUUCCUGCAUGGAGUGGCGCUUUUCUGUCUAAUGGAAACAACAUGAACAUGUAUGCUCUGGGUUUCUUUUUGUGCACCUUUCCAAUAUUACUAAUAAAGCAUU